This 555-nucleotide ribosomal RNA is filed under the name uncultured archaeon. RNAcentral's name for it is "bacterial SSU rRNA". It matches the Rfam family "Archaeal small subunit ribosomal RNA", at positions 325 to 879 of the family's 1478-position model. The record is from RNAcentral.
ACGGGGAGCAGCAGGCGCGAAACCUUUACACUGCACGCAAGUGCGAUAAGGGGACCCCGAGUGCGAGGGCAUACAGUCCUCGCUUUUCCGGACCGUAAGGUGGUUCGGGAACAAGUGCUGGGCAAGACCGGUGCCAACCGCCGCGGUAAUACCGGCAGCACGAGUGAUGGCCGAUGUUAUUGGGCCUAAAGCGUCCGUAGCCGGCCGAACGAGUCCGUCGGGAAAUCCACUCGCUCAACGGGUGGGCGUCCGGUGGAUACUGUUCGGCUUGGGGCCGGAAGACCCGAGGGGUACGUCCGGGGUAGGAGUGAAAUCCCGUAAUCCUGGACGGACCGCCGGUGGCGAAAGCGCCUCGGGAGGACGGACCCGACGGUGAGGGACGAAAGCUAGGGUCACGAACCGGAUUAGAUACCCGCGUAGUCCUAGCCGUAAACAAUGCCCGCUAGGUGUGGCACCGGCUACGAGCCGGUGCUGUGCCGUAGUGAAGACGUGAAGCGGGCCGCCUGGGAAGUACGUCCGCAAGGAUGAAACUUAAAGGAAUUGGCGGGGGAGCAC